This is an RNA transcript of Micropterus dolomieu (smallmouth bass), 2450 nucleotides long. It is a transcript of the gene named serine and arginine rich splicing factor 2b, with no coding region annotated. The transcript has 4 exons. NCBI's taxonomy places the organism in Eukaryota, Metazoa, Chordata, Actinopteri, Centrarchiformes, Centrarchidae. The record is from RefSeq and is a predicted model, not a curated record.
GAGGAAGAAGUUUACCUCGCUGGUUUUCGGAGCAGUCGCAGUCGUUUCAGGCGAGGCGGGUUUGUGCGGGAAGCAGCCACGCAUCUUUUACGAUUGAGCAGCCCUUUCAAACCCCAUACAGGCAAGACGAUUCGGUUUGAAUUACCCCCUCGCGUUUGUGUGCGGACUUGUGAAGGCAGGUAGGCUCCGUCGUAGCCGCGAUAUAAACUGUUUUCAGGAAGGCUGCAAGGCCUCGCGGGAGAAUGGCCAUGAAUUACGGUAGGCCUCCGCCAGACGUCGACGGCAUGACUUCCCUCAAAGUGGACAACUUAACGUACCGAACCUCGCCCGAGACCCUGAGACGCGUGUUCGAGAAGUACGGCCGGGUCGGGGACGUGUACAUCCCCCGGGACCGCUACACGAAGGAGAGCCGCGGAUUCGCGUUUGUGCGCUUCCACGACAAAAGGGACGCCGAGGACGCGAUGGACGCCAUGGACGGCGCGCUCCUCGAUGGGCGGGAGCUGCGGGUCCAGAUGGCCCGGUACGGAAGACCCCCGGAUUCCCACCACGGGAGCGGCGGCGGCGGCGGUGGUGGAGGGCGGCGAGGAGGGCCGACCAGGAGGCAUGGCGGCCAUGGACGCCGAAGCAGAAGCUCUUCCCCCAGUCCGAGACACAGAAGACGCAGCCGAUCCCGCAGCAGGAGCCGCUCUCGUUCCCGAAGCCGGUCCCGCUACAGCAGAUCCAGGUCCCGGUCCUACUCCCGAUCAAAGUCUCAUUCUCCCAGGAACAAGAAGGCCGCUGCCAAGUCCCCAUCUCGUUCCAGAUCUAGAUCCAGGGGCCAGUCCAAAUCCAAGUCAAAGUCUAAAUCCAAAUCCAAGUCCAAGUCCAAGUCCAGAUCCAGAAGCCGCACCCCUUCCUCCAAAAGAGGGUCCCGGUCAAUGUCUAAAAGCCCACCGAAGACGGCGGCAGAAAAUGGAGGCGAAACCCCGUAGAGCUCAGCAUGUCAGCAGGAGCUGCGGCAUCCUGUUUGCUAAAGUGGAGUUUGAGCAGAGCUGAGGCAGUAUGAGCAGUUAGAAGGUGUGUGGUGAGCUGCCCACGGGCCGCCUGCUGCUGGUGAGGGUUUCUGUGCGGCAGGGUGGAGGCAGUCAGAGUUGGGGUUUGGUGUUGAGGUACGUCUGUCUGUCCGCCCACUGGACAUAAAGCUGUCCUCCAGGACGGGGGGCGCUGAGUUUCCAGGUGAAGACUUCAGAACGUCAUGUUCCAGACUGGAUCCCACGCGAGCAACAGUGUCCUGCUGUCAAAGGUUAUUAUUGUGUCUUCCAUGCUUUGCUUUGUUUUAAUUAAUUUGGCCACAGAAGGGCUUUUUGUUUUGGUUUUUUUUUUGUUCCAUUUCACUGAUGUGCUGUGAUUUUUAUUUGUUCUUCAUGAGAUGUUUAUGAUUUUAAUAAUCCGGUCAAUCUGUUCUGACCUGCUUUUUGUAACGAUCACAUGGGAUAAUAAACAUAUAUAAAGUAAUGUUCACGUUUAGAUUGCUCCCCUUUUUAAGUUCUUCUCCACAAGGCCUGCAUCAAGACGCGAGAGAACGCGGUCUGGCUUUCUUUGGCUUUGCUAAACCUCACAUUGAUCCUGAAUAAUCGAUGGCACACGACUUAAACAAUUAUCAAAGUAGUGACUGAUGACUAUCUUGUGAUGCUAAUAAAUAAAUCAUUAGACUGACUGAGGUCUUGUUGAUACCAGUACUGCUUUAUGGUUAUUUGUGUUAUUGUCCAUGUCACGCUGUAUCCUGGUGAGUUAAAGCCAAAGUUCGCCGGCUAACCGAUUUAAUCUCGCUUCAUGAUACAGGCCUGUGGCAUUAACACACAAAGUCAGGACAGUUGGACACAUCAGGGCUCUUUGUUUGUUCAGUAUGAGAUUUAAAUUAAAAAAAAACAUCCACACCAGCUUUUUACCAACUUUGCUCAUAUUACCGUUAUCGCAUAAUGAACAUUUUGUUAAACUGAAGUAAUCCCUCAGACGUCAUGUUAUCUGCCUCCUUGCAGUCUUUAUAAUUCCCGCAGCUCAGGGUGUCUUUUUGUUGGACGGGGACAGCAGAUCAUUUUAACUCCUGUGUCUAAACGUGUUCAGUGUACCUGCAUAUGGACCCGUGAUGUAACAGUCAGAGGAUUUUAAGGCAUCUGCUUGAAUGUUUAAUUUUACAGGACUCUGGUGUUUUUGUUCCUUAUGAAUAUUAUUUUUUAUCCUAAUCCUGCUUGUAUUUUUUUAUUUUUUUGUGCACUAGGCGCAGUUGUGUAGCAGUUGAGUAUUGCUGGUUAGCUGUUAAGGUGGCGCGUUGCUCUGCUGAGUGCUUGGAUGUGUCCAGUAUUCUCCAGAUUGCUCCUGUGACUACCAGUGGUACGCUUGCUACAGUCUCACCCUUUGUACAAUGCCCCCCACCCCCCCACCCUUCAUUAAAGAUUUUGAUGUUUUGUCUA